RNAcentral lists this long non-coding RNA (311 nucleotides) under Androctonus crassicauda. The record is from RNAcentral. Lineage: Eukaryota; Metazoa; Arthropoda; Arachnida; Scorpiones; Buthidae.
CUUACGUACUAUUAGUCUACCAUUAGAUUUUUGUAAAUUUAUGUUUGCUGAAUGAAACUGGGCGGUUUCACUUCGAUGCCAUUAGCGUCGGCAUACAACAAAAGUUUCUCGACCUUCCACCAUGUAGCGGCUCCAUCUCAAAAUGUACUUUUCGUGUCCAAGAGGGUGCCACCCUUGUUGCAAUCUUCAACCACAGUAGUGUCAGUUGUUGUUUUUCUAUUUGAUCAAGUAGCCAUAUUCCAUGUUCGAACUCAAUUUACUUUAAUGUAAUGAGUUCGUUUAAUUGUAUUUUAAUAGCAGCAAGAUCGCCU